This is an RNA transcript of Aedes aegypti (yellow fever mosquito), 1182 nucleotides long. RefSeq lists it as uncharacterized. Lineage: Eukaryota; Metazoa; Arthropoda; Insecta; Diptera; Culicidae. The transcript is spliced from 4 exons. The record is from RefSeq and is a predicted model, not a curated record.
AGAUUUCAGGUGAAGCAUUUCCUACACAAAGUUGAAGUCUGUAAUAUGAAAUUCUCCAGAACUUGAAUCAGAAUAGCAUCGAAAACCAGGGGAACGAUUGUACCCACUAUCCUCUAUCCACGCGUUCAACACAAACUAUGAAUGAGGGUCGCUCACCUUAUAGUCAUCUCCGUUACGAUUUUAAAAUCCAUAUGCAGUAAGUCUUCGUUUUUAUCUAUGAAUCAAGGGAAAUGUACCACAUUUCUGCACACCGCAUGCAAGCACACCUGCCAAAAACGUGUUUAUUUCAUAACGAACCGUUCUCUUCCAAGUACAAGUGCAAGCAAACGAAUUCAAACGCGUGGCAUCUCAGUCCGAUGGGAACCAUUUCUGGGAUAGUUUGUCAGUCAGAGAGUGCAAUUCAAAGAAAAAAAAUGAUUGUUCGAUUAAUUUUUGUGACCGCGAUUUUGGGUACGGUUUUUGUUCCCAACCCAUCCGAAGGUUCUGUUAUUAGUUUAUUCAUAGACGCUCAAAAGCACAUUAUCACACGUGAGGAAGCAAUGCUGAAGCAAGCGCAAGAAGCGGUUAAAGAUCGAAUCGACCAAGCAUUCGACAAGGCACAUGAAGCACUGAUGAGUGUGGCCGAACAGGUUCAUUACUACGCGACAUAUCCGUUCCGUGCUGGCAACGAAAUGAUACAGAAUUCGAUGAGUAUGAUUGGGAAUGCCACAUCGUCACUGGCUGGAUAUUUGCCAUCAUUUGGAGGUCAAACCACCGAACCUGCCACUCUGGAAGCAAUCGACGAAGCAUCUUUUGUCCAGAGAGUUCAGCGGAUGAGGGAACAAAUAUCUCGAUUGUCUGGGCUGCGCGUUGUGGUGCACACUGUAUCAGAGGAUACAUCAAAUGGACCAUUGUUGGAAGCAAUUUUACAGGAUAGGUUUCGGUAACACAGAGAGAACUAUAAAUAUCACUGGGAACGGUAACGGUACAUCGGAUGGAACUUCAGCAAAACCAUUUCCAGAGAUCAAAUUCGAUGACAACGAGACAAGCGGUAAUCAGAGUCGAAUCGAUAACGGAACAUUGGAGUCAACCUCAUAUGGGCCUUUAAAUAAGAUCAAAUUUGACGACAAAGAAGAUACUGGAAUAUUAGAAGGAAGGAGCAAUGAAAUAUAAUAAAAUAUAUUUACGGCUAUUUUUGUUUUA